RNAcentral lists this ribosomal RNA (552 nucleotides) under uncultured archaeon. RNAcentral's name for it is "bacterial SSU rRNA". It matches the Rfam family "Archaeal small subunit ribosomal RNA", at positions 325 to 879 of the family's 1478-position model. The record is from RNAcentral.
ACGGGGUGCAGCAGGCGCGAAACCUCCGCAAUACACGAAAGUGUGACAGGGCUAUCCCGAGUGCCGUCCGCUGAGGAUGGCUUUUACCCAGUCUAGAAAGCUGGGAGAAUAAGGAGAGGGCAAGUCUGGUGUCAGCCGCCGCGGUAAUACCAGCUCUCCGAGUGGUGUGGAUGUUUAUUGGGCCUAAAGCAUCCAUAGCUGGCCAAGCCAGUCCCCUGUUAAAUCCACCGAAUCAAUCGUUGGAUUGCGGGGGAUACUGCUCGGCUAGGGGACGGGAGAGGCAGACGGUAUUUCCGGGGUAAGGGUGAAAUCUUAUAAUCCCGGGAAGACCACCAGUGGCGAAGGCUGUCUGCUAGAACGCGCCCGACGGUGAGGGAUGAAAGCUGGGGUAGCGAACCGGAUUAGAUACCCGGGUAGUCCCAGCCGUAAACGAUGCAGGCUAGGUGUUUGGGCGGCCACGUGCCGCUCUAGUGCCGCAGGGAAGCUGUUAAGCCUGCCGCCUGGGGAGUACGAUCGCAAGAUUGAAACUUAAAGGAAUUGGCGGGGGAGCAC